Ixodes scapularis (black-legged tick) is the source of this 84-nucleotide non-coding RNA. NCBI's taxonomy places the organism in Eukaryota, Metazoa, Arthropoda, Arachnida, Ixodida, Ixodidae. The record is from Rfam.
GCAGUCGUGGCUGAGUGGUUAAGGCGAUGGACUAGAAAUCCCCAUUGGGGUCUCCCCGCACAGAUUUGAAUCCUGUCGACUGCG